RNAcentral lists this ribosomal RNA (497 nucleotides) under uncultured bacterium. RNAcentral describes it as "partial 16S ribosomal RNA". It matches the Rfam family "Bacterial small subunit ribosomal RNA", at positions 28 to 507 of the family's 1533-position model. The record is from RNAcentral.
GACGAACGCUGGCGGCGUGCCUAAUACAUGCAAGUUGAGCGCUGAAGGUUGGUACUUGUACCAACUGGAUGAGCAGCGAACGGGUGAGUAACGCGUGGGGAAUCUGCCUUUGAGCGGGGGACAACAUUUGGAAACGAAUGCUAAUACCGCAUAAAAACUUUAAACACAAGUUUUAAGUUUGAAAGAUGCAAUUGCAUCACUCAAAGAUGAUCCCGCGUUGUAUUAGCUAGUUGGUGAGGUAAAGGCUCACCAAGGCGAUGAUACAUAGCCGACCUGAGAGGGUGGUCGGCCACAUUGGGACUGGGACACGGCCCAAACUCCUACGGGAGGCAGCAGUAGGGAAUCUUCGGCAAUGGACGAAAGUCUGACCGAGCAACGCCGCGUGAGUGAAGAAGGUUUUCGGAUCGUAAAACUCUGUUGGUAGAGAAGAACGUUGGUGGGAGUGGAAAGCUCAUCAAGUGACGGUAACUACCCAGAAAGGGACGGCUAACUACGUG